UAACCCGUUGAAACUAAGCAUAUCAAUAAGCGGAGGAAAAGAAACCAACAGGGAUUGCCCUAGUAACGGCGAGUGAAGCGGCAACAGCUCAAAUUUGAAAUCUGACCUUCUGGUCCGAGUUGUAAUUUGUAGAGGAUGCUUUUGGCGCGGUGCCUUCCGAGUUCCUGGAACGGGACGCCUUAGAGGGUGAGAGCCCCGUACGGUUGGACACCAAGCCUCUGUAAAGCUCCUUCGACGAGUCGAGUAGUUUGGGAAUGCUGCUCUAAAUGGGAGGUAAAUUUCUUCUAAAGCUAAAUAUUGGCCAGAGACCGAUAGCGCACAAGUAGAGUGAUCGAAAGAUGAAAAGCACUUUGAAAAGAGGGUUAAAUAGCACGUGAAAUUGUUGAAAGGGAAGCGUUUGCGACCAGACCUUUUCGUAGCGGAUCAUCCGGUGUUCUCACCGGUGCACUUCGCUACGUUUAGGCCAGCAUCGGUUUCUGUAGGGGGAUAAAAGCUUUGGGAACGUAGCUCUUUCGGGAGUGUUAUAGCCCUUUGCAUAAUACCCUUCCGGGGACCGAGGACCGCGCUAUAUGCAAGGAUGCUGGCAUAAUGGUCGUCAACGACCCGUCUUGAAACACGGACCAAGGAGUCGAACAUUUAUGCGAGUGUUUGGGUGUUAAACCCUCACGCGUAAUGAAAGUGAACGGAGGUGAGAGCCCUUACGGGUGCAUCAUCGACCGAUCCUGAUGUCUUCGGAUGGAUUUGAGUAAGAGCAUAACUGUUCGGACCCGAAAGAUGGUGAACUAUGCGUGGAUAGGGUGAAGCCAGAGGAAACUCUGGUGGAGGCUCGCAGCGGUUCUGACGUGCAAAUCGAUCGUCAAAUCUGCGCAUGGGGGCGAAAGACUAUCGAACCAUCACGGUGGG
This 903-nucleotide ribosomal RNA is filed under the name Xylaria liquidambaris. Its description in RNAcentral is "partial large subunit ribosomal RNA". It matches the Rfam family "Eukaryotic large subunit ribosomal RNA", at positions 21 to 954 of the family's 3401-position model. The record is from RNAcentral. Lineage: Eukaryota; Fungi; Ascomycota; Sordariomycetes; Xylariales; Xylariaceae.